UGUAAUAACCUGCCAAAAGAAGCUACGAACCUUCAUCAGUGUUGUGGGUCUAGGCAAAGUCUUCACUACCUUAGUCUCUUGUGUAUCCACUCGGAUGUCUUUACCCGAAAUAAUAUUCCCAAGGAAAGUUACAGAGUUCAACCAGAAUUUAUACUUUAGGAAAAUUUUGCAUACAACUUCCCUUCUUGUAGAAUUCUGAGCACAAUACGCAGAUGAUCUACAUGCUCAGCCUCUGAAUGAGAAUAUACCAAUAUAUCAUCAAUAAAUACAAUUACGAAUAGAUCUAAAAAAAGGCCUGAACACACGGUUCAUCAAAUCCAUGAAUACUGUUGGGCCAUUGGUCAGACCAAACGACAUAACCCAAAACUCAAAGUGCCCAUAUCUAGUCCUGAAUGCAGUCUUCGGAAUAUCUUCAUCCUUAACCCUUACCUGAUGGUACCCAGACCUCAAGUCUAUCUUUGGAAAACACUUGGCACCUUGUAGCUGAUCAAAUAGAUCAUCAAUUCUCGGGAGCGGGUACUUAUUCUUGAUCGUCACCUUAUUUAGUUGCAUAUAAUCAAUACACAUUCGUAAGGAACCAUCUUUCUUUCUCAUAAACAACAUAGGUGCUCCCCGUGGUGACGUACUAGGUCUGAUAAAACCUUUUUCAAUCAAGUCCCAUAGUUGUUCCUUUAACCUUUUUCAGCUCUGCGGGGGCCAUUCUAUAGGGGUAUAGAUAUUGGAUGAGUAUCUGGUAGUAGGUCGAUGACAAACUCAAUUUAUCGCUCUUGCAGAAGACCCGGAAGCUCAUUAGGAAAAAUAUCGGGAAACUCAUUCACCACAGGGAUGGACUAAAUGGUUGGUAACUCUACUUCCAUAUCCUGAACCCGAACUAAAUGAUAAAUACAACCCUUAUUAAUCAUCUUCCGUACCAUCUCCUUUGGCGAAGAUUCAAUUCCUUUUGUUUGAAGAUGUACUGGAGGCUCUUAUGAUCCAUAUAGAUAUCAACAUGAAUGCCAUACAAUUAGUGACUCCACAUCUUUAGUGCAUUAAUCACCACAGCUAACUCUAAAUCGUAGGUCGAGAAGUUCUUCUCGUGCUUUCUUAGUUGUCUAGAAGCAUAAGCCACAACCUUACCAUGCUGCAUCAGCACACAACCCAAUCCAGUGCUUGAAGCAUCGCAAUAGAUAACAUAACCAUCGGUCCCAUCUAGAAGCGUUAUAACUGGUGCUGAAGUUAACUUGUCCUCUAAGUCCUGGUAAACUCCGUUCGCAAGCAUUGGUCCAUUGAAAACUAACUCCCUUCUGAGUUAACUUACAUGGUUAUCCUAAUCUUGUAUAAUUCAGGAAAUUUCACUCUUCGGAGGCCCAAACUUCAUCUUCUAUUCCUCACAAUUGCGCCAGUAUCCUAUUAUUAGGGCAACAUUUCAUCUAUUCUAAACGUUAUUAGUCUUAGACUCAUUUGGGUUUAUUCAGGCUAUACUGAGCCUUCUAUAACUUAGAGGAAUCAUCAACUCUCUUAUGAACUUAUUCCCAAGAACCUAUCCAUUCUUGUCACCUUUUUACUCAUCUUUUCUUAUCCUUCCUCCUGCCUUCCUAGAACCUUGUCGCUCUACCAUACUUUAGCUUGCGAUUGUCGCGCCCCCUUUUUCUCGCGAAAUCAAGUUUAUGACAUUUUGGUUCGGACAACUCUUCCUUUUAGAAAGGGGGUUUUCAUUUUUGAAGAGUCGCUACCUAACGAUUUAAAGUGCGUUUGGGCACCUAUAAGGUUUAUUUAUAACUACGUUUGGUAACUAGAGAUCGGGUAAGGGCUUGAAAUUAUCCUAAGGGGAAGGUGUUAGGCACCCCUUUGGAUCCACUAGUGUGGUUCCCGGCCAAACAGUUUUUGUGAAUUUGUACAAUUAGCAAAUAAACAAGUGUGGCUCAAAUAGUAGGGGAUUUAAGUUUAAAUACACAGGUGUUUGAAAAACAAUUAAUGAAAAGCAAGAUUUUUGAAAAGAAUUACAAUCUAAGCAUAUUUGGGAAUGUAAGGGGGUAUCAUAGGUUUGUUUAUAAUAUGGAUCAGUUCAAUGCAGUACCCGGUAUGACACUCCUCAAAGAGGGGCUACAUGUGGUAUUAACGCACCGGUCAUCAUAUCCAUAUAUAAAACAGGCUCUCCUGGGGACUGAAAUUAAACCAUCAUUAACCUACACUUGAUGUUAGCAUAACAAAAGGCCAACCAAUCCAUACCCAUUANNNNNNNNNNNNNNNNNNNNNNNNNNNNNNNNNNNNNNNNNNNNNNNNNNNNNNNNNNNNNNNNNNNNNNNNNNNNNNNNNNNNNNNNNNNNNNNNNNNNNNNNNNNNNNNNNNNNNNNNNNNNNNNNNNNNNNNNNNNNNNNNNNNNNNNNNNNNNNNNNNNNNNNNNNNNNNNNNNNNNNNNNNNNNNNNNNNNNNNNNNNNNNNNNNNNNNNNNNNNNNNNNNNNNNNNNNNNNNNNNNNNNNNNNNNNNNNNNNNNNNNNNNNNNNNNNNNNNNNNNNNNNNNNNNNNNNNNNNNNNNNNNNNNNNNNNNNNNNNNNNNNNNNNNNNNNNNNNNNNNNNNNNNNNNNNNNNNNNNNNNNNNNNNNNNNNNNNNNNNNNNNNNNNNNNNNNNNNNNNNNNNNNNNNNNNNNNNNNNNNNNNNNNNNNNNNNNNNNNNNNNNNNNNNNNNNNNNNNNNNNNNNNNNNNNNNNNNNNNNNNNNNNNNNNNNNNNNNNNNNNNNNNNNNNNNNNNNNNNNNNNNNNNNNNNNNNNNNNNNNNNNNNNNNNNNNNNNNNNNNNNNNNNNNNNNNNNNNNNNNNNNNNNNNNNNNNNNNNNNNNNNNNNNNNNNNNNNNNNNNNNNNNNNNNNNNNNNNNNNNNNNNNNNNNNNNNNNNNNNNNNNNNNNNNNNNNNNNNNNNNNNNNNNNNNNNNNNNNNNNNNNNNNNNNNNNNNNNNNNNNNNNNNNNNNNNNNNNNNNNNNNNNNNNNNNNNNNNNNNNNNNNNNNNNNNNNNNNNNNNNNNNNNNNNNNNNNNNNNNNNNNNNNNNNNNNNNNNNNNNNNNNNNNNNNNNNNNNNNNNNNNNNNNNNNNNNNNNNNNNNNNNNNNNNNNNNNNNNNNNNNNNNNNNNNNNNNNNNNNNNNNNNNNNNNNNNNNNNNNNNNNNNNNNNNNNNNNNNNNNNNNNNNNNNNNNNNNNNNNNNNNNNNNNNNNNNNNNNNNNNNNNNNNNNNNNNNNNNNNNNNNNNNNNNNNNNNNNNNNNNNNNNNNNNNNNNNNNNNNNNNNNNNNNNNNNNNNNNNNNNNNNNNNNNNNNNNNNNNNNNNNNNNNNNNNNNNNNNNNNNNNNNNNNNNNNNNNNNNNNNNNNNNNNNNNNNNNNNNNNNNNNNNNNNNNNNNNNNNNNNNNNNNNNNNNNNNNNNNNNNNNNNNNNNNNNNNNNNNNNNNNNNNNNNNNNNNNNNNNNNNNNNNNNNNNNNNNNNNNNNNNNNNNNNNNNNNNNNNNNNNNNNNNNNNNNNNNNNNNNNNNNNNNNNNNNNNNNNAUGCUUGCGACUGUAGUCUUUAUAGGCAUCGCUAAAAAUGUAACACAUCGUUAGGAAUACGAAUGCUUAUAUUGCAUGAUCUAAGAUAAGAAGAGAGGAUACCAUCCUAUAUGUCUUGUAGCCUCCUAUUUAUAAGUGUGGUGCACAACACAACCAUAAAUAAGACUCUACUAGACAUGGUAUGUAGACAACCCUAGGACAAAACUGCUCUGAUACUACUUUUGUCACGACCCAAACCGAUGAGUCGUGAUGGGUGCCUGACUCCUACAUGUCAAACACCCCUAAGCAUGCGUCUAAGAUAUGAACCUGAAUAACAUUUGCUACAUUACGAAAAUAACAUAUGUGAGAAACCUGCCAUCAAAGCAUAUGUACGUAUACAGACAAAAUACAGUGGGCGAGCCGGUAAGGCUGCUAUAGACAACUAUACAUCCAUAACUGAAAGUCAUCAAGGCCAUAUGCAACCCAACUAGACAUACUGUCUACAGACCUCUAAUGGAAUCAUAAUUGUACAAAGACGGGACUAAGUCACGUCAUACCUAUAUAUAUAUAUAUAUAUAUAUAUAUAUAUAUAUAAAUGUAUCAUGUAUAUAUAUAUAUACACAAACGUAUCAUACCAAACUCAAAAGCAGCUCUGGAUCAAGUGGAGCACGCCAACUUUCGCUGAUCAGGGAUCCUAAGAAGGGGACUGUCAGCUUGCCUACCUGCACCUGCGGGCAUGAAACGUAGGCCCCGUGAAAUAGAGCAUCAGUACAAAAAAUAUAUUGAGUAUGUAAGGCAUGAAAAUAAGUACGUAAAAGACAUAGAUGAAACAUGGAAUACAGAAAUACCUUUAAAUCUGAAUAACUCUGUAAUUUUUGAAACAUUUAUAAUAUCAUGCACAUGCGUAUAAAUGUCAUGCCAUGAAUAGGUAUGGUGUACAUAAUAUCAUCAAGCCACUGAGGGCAUCCCAUCAUAUCAUCUCGGCCACUGUGGGCAAUAUCAUCAACAUAUACUUGAUCGGGUGGUGGUACGUAUAUAACGCCAUAACCUCUUCCCAUAUCCCAUAUACAUAUACAUACAUAUAUACACGUAUAUAACACUGUUUGAAUCAUAUUCCAGUCACUAUGGAUAACAUCAUCAUCAUAUACCAACUGAUCAGGUGGUGGUACGUAUAUAACAUCGUAACCUUUUCCCAUAUCCCAUAAACAUAUAUUUACAUAUUUACGCGUAUAUAACGUCAUCUGGUCAUGGGUAAAAGCAUAUGUAUAAAUGAGUGAAAUGCAUGAAAAAUAAAUAAUAAUCUUGAUAUUCCUUCUGGAUAAACUUUUCCAACUGCGUAUUAUUCUGAGACCCAUGAACAGAAGAUAAUAAUAAUUCUCAUGGGGAAUCAAGAAUAUAGACAUCCCUAAUAUCUCUAUAAAUAGUGUAGUUUAUGGAAACUGUGUAUUUGCUCGUUUCUUCAGUAUAAUUUGGACCAUGCCAAAAAAAAGAAGGGAGGGCCUUAACAUACCUGUUCCCGGAAUGCUUGAACGGAUUGAAGUUUCUACUUCUCUGAAAUAUGUUGAACGAAAUUUGUGGUGCUUUUUUUGAAAUUUCAGUCGAAAUUCUUGAAUUGACUAAGUAAUUGAAUUGUUUGGACGAAAUAUUUGUUGUUUUCCAUGUUUUUGAUUUCAAGCCAAGCUAAUUUAGGCAAGAAUGGACGAAAAGUUUUCUGUUUCUACGUUCUUUGUUUCAAACUAAAAGCAGAUUAUUGUUUUAGGUUCUUUUACCAAGAAAUGACAUCAAGCCUUCAUGGAUAAUGGUUAAGGCUUACAAGAUUCAAGUCUUAUAUAAGACUUUAAGUUUUGGACUCUUUAAACUUAAGACACAUAUACAUAUAUUCAUGAAUCAUUCUUCCCAAUUAGUGGCCUUGUGCCACUUUUUUUUUUUGUAAUUGAUGAAAUUUUGUCCGCUUAUUAGUUAACUGGGUAAUGUUCUGUUACCCGGUAAUUAAUCAAUUACCGGCAUAAUUUAAAAAUUACCACAAAUUACUUAAAAUUCUAUAUAUUUUUAUAAUACUUCAUAUAUAUUUUAUAUAUUAUACUACCAUGGUCAUAUGGUACCUUGCAUGGUACCAGUUCAUAAUUAUCGGGUAUUGUCGCUCAACCCGCAUUUUAUUCCAAAUUGGCCACUUCCAACGAAACUCGUUUUCGUUAAUCAGUGUACCCUUUUAUCCUUCAUAACACAUAUUUAUCGCUUGUUAUAAAUAGCGUAAGUACGUUUACGUCAAGAUAUUCUCAUCCCCGAGUCUACGUCGGUUAACUAAAAGCAAAAUUUUAGCGUACGAAAACACGAGAUGUAACACAUUCAUAUGGGGACCACACACUCCUGCGUGCACUUCAUUCAUUAUUCUUCCGGCCUCUUGGGCGUCCAUACAUCUUAAAAGGUUCAGAUCUGGAGUCCUUUUGUACAAAACCUCGCCACUCAAGAAGAAACCACUAGUAAGCCUUCUAAUGGUUCUCUUUUGGUCUCCACUAGCUUGCUCGGGAUAUUCUUUUGUUUUCAAAAAUCUGUUGAUAUCAUGAUAACAUGGCUGAACAUUUGGUUCCACCUCAACCGUAUUGCAAUAACCAUGUCUUUCUCGAAUUUUGAUUUCCAACGGGUUAAUGUGGACAUUGACUAGAUAUGGCAACAUCAAGGCCAAAGUAGCGAGUGCAUCGGAUAACUCAUUGUGAAACCAAGGAAUGUACCUGAACUCAACUGACUUGAACCGCUUGCUAAGAUCUUCCACAUGUUGCCUAUAUAGAAUAAGCUUGACAUCCCAAGUUUCCCAGUUACCCUGAGCUUGUCGGAUAAUCAAGUCUGAAUCUCUCAUGAUUAACAAUUCUUCCACCUCUUGGUUGAUUGCCAUGUUCAUACCCAUAAUGCAGGCUUCAUACUCGACAGUGUUGUUGGUGCAGAAAAAUCGAAGUCGGGCUGUGGCCGGAUAGUGCUGACCAGUGGGUGAGAUCAAGAUUGGCCCUAUCCCCACAUAUUUUGCGUUCACAGCUCCAUCGAAGAACAUUUUCCAAGCAUUGGUGUCUUCUGAAAUUACCUCAACUGAAUUUACUUCCGCUAAGUGAUCCACUAAAGCUUGAGCUUUCAUUGUCGUGCGGGUGACAUAGACUAUGUCAAACUCGGUGAGCAGGAUUUUCCAUAUUGCUAACCUCCCCAUGGGCAUCGGCUUUUGGAAUAUGUACUUCAAAGGAUCCAACCUGGUGAUGAGAUAGGUGGUACAGGCCAACACGUAAUGCCUAAGCUUCUGAGCGACCCAUGUUAGGGCACAGCAAGUCCAUUCCAAAAAAGUGUACUUGGCUUCGUAACUAGUGAAUUUCUUGUUCAAAUAGUAUAUUGCAUGUUCUUUCUUCCCGGUCGCAUCAUGUUGCCCGAGAACGCACCCAAAGGAAUUCUCCAACACUGUCAAAUACAAAAACAAAAGCCUCCCAGGUUUGGGUGGGACUAAGACUGGCGGAUUCGACAAAUAUUCUUUGAUUUUGUCGAAGGCUUCUUGGCACUCAUCUGUCCAUUUAAUCACUGCAUCUUUCUUCAACAGUUUGAAUAUGGGCUCACAUGUGGAAGUCAACUAUGGACUUUAUAUUUGUUGGACCUAGCUCAAUGCCCCUCUGAUUGACUAUAAAUCCCAAGAGUUUCCCAGACGAAACUCCAAAUGCGCAUUUAGCUGGAUUUAACUUCAAGUUAUACUUAUGCAAAUGCUGAAAGAACUUUCUCAUAUCCCGAACAUGGUCAUCCUACGUUCUUGAUUUAAUGAUUACAUCGUCCACAUACACCUCAAUUUCUUGGUGCAUCAUGUCAUCAAAGAUGGCAGUCAUAGAUCUCAUGAAAUUUGCCCUGGCGUUCUUCAAACCAAAAGGCAUGACCCUAUAACAAUAGGUGCCCUAGUGUGUGGUGAAAGCUAUUUUUUCCGCGUCUUCUUCAUCCAUCAAGACUUGAUGAUAUCCAUCAAAACAAUCCACGAAAGACUGUAUCUCAUGUUUGGCAUAGUUGUCUACAAGGAUGUGGAUGUUUGGCAAAGGGAAGUUGUCUUUGGGACUUGCUUUGUUCAAAUCCCGAUAGUCAACACACACUGGGGUUUUCCCANNNNNNNNNNNNNNNNNNNNNNNNNUUGAUGAUAUCCAUCAAAACAAUCCACGAAAGACUUGUAUCUCAUGUUUGGCAUAGUUGUCUACAAGGAUUGUGGAUGUUUGGCAAAGGGAAGUUGUNUUUGGACUUGCUUUGUCAAAUCCCGAUAGUCAACACACACUGGGGUUUUCCCAUCUUUCUUUGGCACUGGAACCACAUUAGCCAACCACGUAGUGUAUUGGACCAUCCGGAUCACACCCGCUUUUAACUGUUUGGUGAUCUCUUCUUUGAUCUUGUCAGUGAUACCAGUAUUGAACUUCCUUUAUUUUUGCAGGACAGGGGGAUAAUCUGGGUAAGUUGGCAAUUUGUGUACCACUAAAUCAACACUUAGGCCUGUAAUAUCAUCAUAGGACCAAGCAAAUACAUCUUUGAAUUCUAACAAAAGUUGGAUCAAUGUGUCCCUAGUUCUUUCAUCAGUGUGAAUGCUUACCAUGGUUUCUUGGACCUAUUCUGAACUACCCAAGCUAACUGGCUCAGUUUCAUUUAGUUUUGGCUUAGGCUUAUUCUCAAAUUGUUCCAGUUCUCGGUUUAUUUCCCUAAAAGCCUCAUCUUCAUCGUAUUUUGGUUCUUGAUUCAUUAUUUCACAAUGAGAUAGCGCGUUAGGAUAUGGGCAUGAAAUCCACAAGCAUGUCAUGUUAUUUAAGUCCGCAUUAUUAGAACUGAAAGAAUAAAUAAGAAAAAUAACAAAAUUAGAAAGAAUAAAGAAAGAGAUUCAUAGACGAUGAAAUAUUGAUUUCAUUUCAUUGAAUUUGAAGAUAGAAGGGUUUACAUUGGAAUUUUAAUGAUAAUAAACUUAAAGAAAACAUUCGAGUUACACCCUAAAAUAACUCGGAAUGCAGAAAAGGUGGCAAGACUGGACUACUAGGAUUCCCGCCUGACUAGGAACGGAGUAGCCUUCCAAUUUUGCAGCUUGGCAUCGGGCCCCAUAAAUUACACCUCAGCAGUGCUCGAGCCUUCACUCGGGUGGACCAUGUGAGCUUCAUAAAACAUUUGCCUCAUGUCUCCAUAUAUGUCCUCAAUUUCCUCGGCCGUGAGGGCCUCAUCUUCUUUUGUUUCCAUGUACUUUGGCUUGAUGAAUGUUUUGGAGAGAUGCGGUACCGGCUAAGGCAACACCCAACCAUUUCUCUUUCGUUCAUUUGCCCAUGUCACAUCAGAUUCUCUGGCGUGAAAACCCACACCAAAGAACUUCUCACUGGUAGCUAAAGUAAUAGGCUCUGUGAUACCUUACAAAGAUACCCCGAGCCCCUUCCCAGGCUUAUAACCAUGCAUGAUCAUUUCAGUGGUGACCAUGAUUGACGCAUUUGGCAGAAAGGGUUGAGGACAUGGGCUUCCUUCCACACAUUGAUCUGCGACCACAACCUCAAAAGCUUGAUAGACUAUGUGCUCGCUACCUUCCCUAGCCUCGAGACAUGGGACUGAUGGGUCCUGGUAAAUUGAUUGCUCGUCUUCUCCAUUUACCACAAUUUUCUGAUCUUUGUGUUCAAACUUCACUAUUUGGUGGAGAGUAGAAGGUACGGCCCCUGCAGUAUGGAUCCAAGGCCUUCCUAAGAGAAAAAUAUAAGAGGUGUCCAUGUCCAAAACCUGAAACGUCACUUUGAAAUCCAUAGGACCGAUAGUCAAGAUCAAAUCAAUCUCCCAUAUUUUGUCUCUCUUGAUGCCAUCGAAAGAACGCACACAAACAUUGUUAGGCCUGAUUCUCUCAGUCCCAAUUUCCAUUGUUUGCAAAGUUAAGAGAGGGCAUAUGUCGACCCCAGAUCUGCCAUCCAGCAUAACUCUUUUCACAUAGUACCCUUCACACUUAACUGUCAGAUGAAGAUCUUUGUUGUGGGCAACCCCUUCUGGGGGCAAGUCAUUUCUACUAAAUGAAAUCCUGUUGACUUCGAAGAUCGUUCCGCCAUCCUUUCCAGUUUCUCAACAGUGGUUCCAAUCGGAACAUAUGCUUCAUUUCGGGUCUUUAUUAACACUCUCUGAUGCUCAUUCGAGCUUAUCAGUAGAGACAAGAGCGAGAACUGAGAGGGAGACUUCCAGAGUUUGUCAAUUACCUCGUAGUCUGCAAUUUUCAUUUUUCGGAAGAAUUCCUCUGCUUCUUCGACACUGACUGGCCUUUUAAGUAGAAAACGCAUCUGCUUGGCAUUGUUCACUUCUUCUAGAUUGAGGUACUUCCCAUAUGGGUUAGUUUUGUUUACUUCCCUCAUGAUUUAUUUCCCCUUGUACGUCACAAUUGCUUUGUUGUAGUUCCAGGGGACUGCAGUGGGGUCUUUCAUCGGCUUUUGUAGGGCACGGCUAAUGAUCACGGGCUCAUUCAUCCCAGGUGGAAUUAUUGGUCCCCGUGCCACAUAAGUCCCUUUGGGUACAUACAUAUUAGGUCUCUUGUUUAGCUCGAACCUUUUAGGAGGACUCAAUGUGAAUUGUUCUUUUUUGGAGUCCCGAGGAACAUAAAGAAUGGCAUCCUUAGGGGGUACUGCCCUUGUUUUAGUUUCCACCAUCUUUUCUACACUUUGAGGGGCGGAGUUACUCUUCUUCUCCCCCUUGUCUUGCUUUGUAACCACCCUUGGCUUCUUUGCAACAUCGGCGAUGGCAAUGAUGGCUUUCAGAGCUGGGUCAAACUAUUUAUCUUCACAAAUCAUCCCAAUAACUGGCCCGUUGUUGUGAGACGGUAAUGGGUUAUUAGUCACAUUGGGGAUCUCUUCAUAUUUCAGCACUAUCCGUUUUUACUCUAUUAGACUUUCGACCACCCUUUUAAGAGUCCAACAGUCUUUAGUUUCAUGCUCUUCUGCUCCUGAAUGGUAAGCACAUCGAGCACCGUGUCAGUAGGAGGGCGACUCUAGGCUUUGCCUGGUUUGGGGUACGGGUUGCAACAAACCCAUUUGGACCAGUUUAGGAAAAAGGCCAGAGUAUGAUUCACUAAUAGGUGUGAAGUUGGUUCUUCUGGGUGGCUCCCGAGAACAGGCAUUGUAAGGAAAAUUAUUUUGUGGGGGAUGGGGAUUAUAUGGAGCUUGGUGAGGGGGGUUAUUUCUAGGAAGUGGAGCUCGGUUUUGGUUAAACUGUUGUUGUGGCUGAGCAUAUUGCUGGUCAUUCAUCACCGCAUAAGGCUGAGGAGCUAAUGCAUAAGCCACAUCCUGGUAAGGAUAAUAAUGUUGCGGGGUGUUUGGAAGUAAGUAACCUCGGGGUUGACGGGGGUUUCUCAGGCUUGAAGCCACCAUCGCCACUUCUUCUUUCUUCUUUCUGUUUGUUACACCUCCUGACCCGCUCUAGAUUGCUUGGGGCGUAGCUCUUAUAGAAGACUAGCUCAAUAUGCGGCCUGUCUUCAUACCAUUUUCGACCAUCUCCCCAGUUUUGAUAUCCUCAAAAAAUGGCUUUCCCAUUGCAAACAUUAUAUUCUGGAAGUAAUCAGCCUCUUGGGCUUGUAGAAAAACACUAACCAUCUUAGUCUUAUCCAUCGAGGGCUUCACCCUGGCUGCUUGUUAGUUCCACUUAACAGCAUAUUCUCGGAAACUCUCCAAAGACUUCUUUUUGAGAUUAGAUAAGGUAUUUCUGUCUGGAGCUAUGUCUAUGUUGUACUGGAAUUGCCUGACGAAAUCUCGAUCCAAAUCAUCCCUUAUGUGCCAGCGAGACAUGUCUUGAUCCAUGUACCACUCGGAUGCAAUGCCAACUAGACUCUCUCCGAAAUAAGCCAUUAGGAGCUCUUCAUUUUCACCUGCCCCUCUCAAUUUAUUGCAAUACCUCUUGAGGUGGGCUAUAGGAUCCCCAUGCCCAUCAUACUUUUCGAACUUGGGGGUCUUGAAACCGAUGGGCAAAUGAACAUGCGGGAACAUACAUAAAUCAGUGUAGGAUAUGCUCUUUUGGCCACUUAAAUCUUGUAUAUUCUUAAGGCUUUGUUCCAUGCUUCUCAUUUCCUGAGUAAUUUCCUCUUGCUUGGGAUUCUUCGUAGCUUUCUCUUGUCCCGUGGUAAACUCAUACCGGGGUUGUUGAGGGUAAGAAUUGGUGGUGAAAUGGGCAGUAGAAAGGAUGGUACUUGGAAAGUAAAGGAUAAUGGAUCAAAGCUUGGCCUGGGAAAAGUUGGUUGUGCCGUAGCCGAGGUUGGUGGUGCAGUGAAUAUGUUAGAGGCCACUCCUAAAAUUAAUGCCUGGGGGCGAACCUCAGAAGGCAUUCCGGCGAAAUGGGCUGAGAUGGUGGGAUAUCUGAGUGGGGUGUUCGUGUAAUUUAUUGGGAUGUUUGAUGUUACACUUGAUCUGGGAAGUAGCUCAGGGAAACCAGGUAUUGCACUAGGCGGCUCUCUACCGUUGGACCAGGCAUCCCACAUUUCCAACAUUCGGAGGCGCAGUGCCCUAUUCUCUUCAGCAGUCGCCGAUUAUGAUGUUGGGAUAGUCGAUAACGGGAUAUCAUCUGGGAUGGGAAUUGUUUGUAGAUGACUAUCUGACGAUAUUUCGACACUUCUCUUGGAUCUUGUAAAGUAAGGGCGCGAAGCCAGGUUACCACAAACGAACCACCUUAAAAACACAACCUAAACUCACAACAGACACAACAAAAUGGUUAGUUCGAGGCAACUAACACAUAGGGAAUCGCACAUUGGGGGUGUGAUGCACAUAUACAGUUAAAUGUGUUUCUAUAUGUUUUGCAACGAAUGCAUGUCUCAUCCCGACUUUUGUUUAUCUCCCUGAUCUUUUGUCGUGCUCUCUUUUGCACUCUCUUGCUUUUCUCUCUUGUUCUCAUUCUCUUUUUCUUGUUUUCUCUCUUUUCUUCUUUGCUUUUUCCUUUUGGUUUUCUCUUUUCAUCAUUUUCUCUUUUAUUUGAAUUAUUUAUAACCAUGACCGGAUCUGAUGGGGAUUGCCUACGUAUCACGACAUCGCAUGAAUUAGAUCAUCACGUAGUUCAAAAGAUUAAUGUGGAAUAAACAAAUUUUGGUUUUUUUUUCAAAUUUUCAUUAAAACAAAAACUUCUAUUACAAAGACUCGAUCAUACAUACUUAAGACUUGAAAAAUUAAAAUAGACUCAAAACAGACUCUAGUAAUGAAAAUAUAGACUCGAAAGGAGAAAGGAAAACAAUCAGGAGUACAUAAGUGCCUCCAAUCCACCCCUAGGGACACCAAUUGGUCUUGUCGUGGGCCUACGUGCCAUGUCUUCUUGGAGGUGAUAGAGGUCAUCCAUUAUCUGGUGAACAAAGAUCAUUACUGUGGUGAAGAACAUGGACCUGGUCAUGUCCUCACACUCGUUGCACUAUAUCACAAUGUGUCGGCGAUUCUUCUAACCCUUUCGCUGAUGAUGCCCUUUUCUUGUAACAACCACCCAAUCUGCUGAGAUCUAGCCUCCAAAACAUGGGUGACCACAUGAUUCUGUUCUUGCAAAUGUUGUAGGUCCUCCUCUAGCUGUGCCAUCAAAGCGUAACAAUGUUAUCUCUCGGCUUUCAAGCUCUUGGAUUGUUUAGUCAUUUAACCCUCAAGGCUAUUAAGCUCCUUUUUCAAGCCCAUGCCCCUUAUGUCAUAUCUUUCCUUCAACUGUCGAAAAAAAAUUGCCCGUUCUUCUGCAUUUUUGGCCAACUUUGUUCAGGCUUUUGCUAGCUCAGCCUCAGACCUUUGCAAAUCAUCCUCAUAGUCACGUACUUUUUACGUAAGGCUGUAGAUGAGCUUUUCAUAUUUUCUGCUUCUGCCCGAGGUCUCAGCUACUAUUCUCAUCUUUCAAACUUGGGCCUGGAGAGCUUCAUUUUCUUUGGCUAACCUUCUUCUUUCACCUUCAGCUUCUUGUUCAUGUAGAUCAUUAUUGAAUACGAUGUUCCUCAAUUCUUCUUGCAAAGCGUGAAUGGUGGCUUGAUAUUUUUUAUCCUUCUCUCCCCAGACCAACCUUUCUCGGAUUUUAUCAUCAAAAUCUUGAACAUGAGGUCUUUUGGCGGGCCUUUUAGGCUCAGGCUCUGGCUCAUCAUUCGCACAAAACCUUCUCUCAAACCACACAGCAUAAUUUGGAUCCACUUCUCCUCUCGCAAGAUCUGGUACCUAGGUGUCACUUUUUAGAUAUCGGCAACCAUUCCAAUCCUUUUGGACUAAAGCCUCAGGUAGUGUUGCUUAUGGGUGUAGCUCAAUGACUUGGGUACUCAAAUCUACCUCUUCGGGUACCACUUGAUAUCUUCCCAGUUGCCUUAGAACUCUUUGCUGUGCAUAUAGUUGGAUACUCCUCAGGCCCAUCAUCAUCAAGUAGCCUUUUGAAGCUGUCAUAUAUAUGACUUCCGUUACCGGAAGCCAUCCUAUGGUCCAUUCACUUUGACUUGCUUUCAGAGUUCUUAAAUGGGAGACCCAGGCCCCAAACCCUUCUGGAGAUUUGUAGUUUUCACCCUUUCCUCAUAAUUCUUGAUAAAGUUGUUCCUGUUCGAACCAUAACUCAUGAACUUGGGGUGACGGCAGAGAUGUUCGAUCAACCACAUUUGAACCCUCAAAGAAUUGAGCCCCAGAUUUACACAAGGUUAAUGCUCGAUAAAUGUCCACCAGCACUAACGGAACAAGUGUGUGAUCUUUAUUGGAAGUGAAUAUUUGUGCAAUUCUGGCCAUACGAGUAUCUAUUGUCCCUUCUACAUUGGGAAAGACCAUGAUUCCCAGAAACGCCAUAAUGAAAGCAAACUGACGAUGAAUAUGUCAGGUGCUCUUAUCUUGUUCGUUGUUUAAUCCCUUUUCAUGCAUUUCAAACCCAGCUGAGUGCCCGAACCUGAAGUAUAAGAAGUAGAGAGAACAACAUCCCUUGUUUGCAUGGGCCUUCUUCAUUUGCUUACUUAUAUUCAGAAGAUCAAAGAACUUGUGCCCAAAGGGAGCCCUCGGGAAUAUAAGUUAAUGUUUCCUCAUGUCCUAGCCAAAGUCAAUGUAUCCGGCCAUUUCCUCUAGAGUAGGGGUGAGCUCGAAAUUCGAGAAAUGGAACACGUUGUGGACAGGAUCCCAAAAGGUUACCAAAUUUUUGAUUAGAUCCUCCUGGGGUUCGAUGCUCAUGAUGUCUAUAAGGGAACCCAGCUACACUUUUACCCAAUCCUGGCCAUCUUUAUCUUAAUCAUUCCACCACAUGUGGAGCUGCAGUUGAGCCUGUUCUAUGACCAAUUAUGACGGGUUCUAGACAGUAUUCAUUUGUACCUAUGGAGGGUUAAGGUUAGGGUUGACUCUGGUGGACUCUUUUUGCAAAACAAGUUUUUAAUUUCUAAAAGAAAAUCAACGGACAAUGACCCCCCUUAUGCUACUUUAGCAAAAAUGGUCAUUUUGUAAACGUGGCCUCUUCGCAAUUCCAAACAAAUUUUGAGGCCGGGGGAAGGUAUUUUAUGGAAAAAGACACCUUACAUAUAGACUUGCCCAUUCUUCACGAAAAAUAGCCUUUCGACAAUUGGAAGAUAAUCUAAGGCUAUCCCGGCAAGGACGAGUUAAAAUACAACCGAAGCUGGGUCGGCUUAUUCUUUUGACCAAAGCCCUAAACUACACUUUAGUUGAUUAUUUUUGUAAAAAAAAUGAGGCCGAACCUUAUGUGGGUUGCCUACGUAUCCCACAUCCGGUGAGAAUCAGACAUGCGUAGUUCGGUCAAUUUUGACAUAAAAACAUAAUUGUUGGCUCACUUUUUUUAAAAUACAUUUUCCUUUUUCCCUUUUUUCAAAAAGUUUGGCUGAGUUUUGAGACCUUUUCAAAUAUUGGGAUUUUCAGAACCGGGUGAAUUCUCUAUCCUACUUCACUCUUGGUUUUUCUCUUUAUUUCCUUUUCCUAACCGGUCAAUAUGCAAGCCGAAACAAAUAAAUAUUCACAUAGCACAUAGGAUGCAUCAGGAUGGUCUUUAUUUUGGGUACACCUGUGCUAGACGGACCUAACCCCUGUGUUGAGUCCCCAAGGUCUAAUGCACGUGAUGCAAAUAAACGUUCCUACUAGGGAUCCAGCAUGAGGUUAUGUUAUUCUAAGUGUAAACCUAGGGUGUUGUUCUAGACCUGGCUUACUCGAGCGGACAAACUCGAGUCGAGGAGGGGGCAAUGAACCAGGAGCACGAAAGUCUGCCCGACCUUGUUGCUUGUCCAGCCCCGUUCUAUUUGGUAUAACUCUAACAGAAAAGUGGGUCAUGCGAACGUGAGCACCGUUUUUUUAGAAGACUCAGAAGGGAGGCGUAAGAAUACAGUUCAAGUAAUAUCAAAGCGGUAAAUGGCAAUUAGCAAUUAAGUCCACAAAAUACAGUAAUAUCAACAAUAAAGCCAAAUAAAAAUCACAUUAACAAGCUCGAAUUCUUGAACCCCGAACCAGAGAUUCUGGGUUUGAUCCCCAGUGGAGUCUCCAGAGCUAUCACACCUCCUUUUUUCCACCCGAGAGGGCAUAUAUGGGAGUUUUUCCAGUUAAAGUGACAUUAAUCGAGAUGGGAUUAUUUAGUUUAUUAGAGUCGCCACUUGGAAUAAUUUAUUUGGUGUCUCAAGUCACUGGUUUGUUUUGAAUCCCAAAUCAAGGAAGUUUCAAGUUUAUUUAAAGUCUGAGAACCAGAAAUUCUAAGUAAGGAAUUCUGUUAAUCCGGGAGAAGGCGUUAGGCAUUCCCGGGUUCUGUAGUUCUAGCACAGUCGCUUAGUGAUUAUUACUUGGCUUAAAUUGUUUAACUACUUAUUUUUAGGACCUAUGUACAUUUAUCUUUUGACCGCUUUUAAUCACUUGAUUCAUUCGUAAUUAAAGAAUUAAGUUACGCGUACGUAUACUCUUUUCUUUUGGCGCAUCAAAAAUCAUGUCACGCGAACGUGUCCACAAUUAAUAAUGCUUUGUUUAUUUUAUUAAGAAGAGUUUCGUUGAAGUUGCACGAACGCACCCUCGAGUUACUUUUUUUAGAAUUAAAUUCGCAAAUAUGUUACGCGAACAUAUGCAUAAGCACAAUAAUAGUCUGAGUCGAGCCUAAAACAAACUACAAGUGUUUAAGGUUAUUUUAACAUCUAAAUUGUAAUACCAAUAUGAGGGCCAUAGAUGAUUUAAUUAGGAUGGCACACCUCAACCAUUUAAAAGAAUUACACUUAAUGAGGCCUAAGGAUAUUCUUACUUACAACUAUUUUGGAUUUAAAACUAUUGAUUAUGGGUAAGGAAAUAUAAAGCAGCCUGUUAUAUUUUUUUUUUGAAAAAGAACUGGGCCAGUAGCAGGCCCAGUAUACUAUCAAAACAGGCAUUAAAGAAAAAGGGAGUGAAGCCAUCACCAACUGGGCUCCAAAAUUAAGCCCAGACGUGGGACCAAGGGACAAAACUGAAUAUUAGGGGUCCAAUUUGACUAGGAGUCAUGAUUUGGGCCAUCUGCAAGCCUAAUUGCAUUAUUCAGAAUAAACUAUUUAUGAAGAAAAGAUAUGUUGAUGAGGAUUUGGCUCAAAUUUGAGCCUAAAAGAGAGAAACAUGAAUAACUAGAAGUCAACGAGCCUGGCCAUGAUCCAGGCAAUCUCAUUUGGGCCGGAUCCAACCCCAAACUUAGGCACGAAUGCAUCAAACAUUAAGGCCCCACUGAGGCCCACUGACUACAAUGCACAUAUAGCAACAACAUAAUAUGCAGAUUAUGAAAAUUACAACACCAAACAGACUAUGUUAUAAACCUUAAAAUUAUUAUAUUGCUACUAAUGCUAACAACAUGAAAUUGAACUAUGAAACUACUCAUUAACUAUACUACUACAUAUAAACUUGUUCUAUCAAAGUUACAAUUUUGAAAAAUAUACACAUGCUAGGUACAGUGUUUCAAACAUAUGUGAGCCAGCAUUUUUUAUUACAAACAAAUUAUUAGAAACCUAUACUAACUUGAAAUUUUACAUAUUUCAGAACAACCAAACUAGCAGACCUUCAGCAUAUAACAUUUCCUACUAGACAAAUAGCCAUCCAAACACAUCCAAACCACAUCAAUACUACAGAAGACUAAAACUAAUAAAGGUACUGAGAAAACAUGGGAAUAAAAUUAAAAGGGGCGCAUUUCAUUAGAUCUUCAAUUUUCAGCUACAUAUUGCCAAUAGAACGACAGGCUUGCACUUCAAAGAUCAUGUAAAGUCCAAAAAAUACCUGGAUAUUGAAACAAAGCAAAAAGGAAAUGAUAAGUUCAACAAGCAAAGAAGUAUGAGUAAAUCAGCAGCUCAACAGCAAUAUUCAGCUCCUUAGAUCAAUCUUAAACCCAGAAAAACAGAAGUCCUUCGAAAACUUUUAUGUUCUUACUAACAGGGACAAAACAAGGAACAAUUCUCAACCAUUUUCAACCAAAUAAUGUCGAAACUUUAAGUAUUUUUUAGGGUUUGAAUUUCUGAUGUUUCUUUUCAGAACUUUUAGGCAGAAGAUGAUGUUGAAUGUGUGUGUGUGAGUGAGGGAAUGUUUCCCUUUUAUAGAGUGUACAAAAAGGCAUCAAAAAAGCAUAUUCUAACCUAAAAUUCUGAACUUUCAGGAUAGUACAGCAUCUUUUUACAGCUGCUUGUCCUUUUCCUACCCAAUUUCAUCAUCUUUUGCAACAGCUAGGACAGUUGUGCACCUUCUAGAAACUUCUCCUAUUUUCAUACCCUUUUUACUUCUGAAAUUUUACCAUUUACCCAGAAGUUCUGACUUAAUACCUUUUCUUAUUUUAAUUUGAUCCCUUAUCUUAAAUCAAGAAGCUUCUCAUCUAAAAAUCCUACUUCAUAUUUCCAAAUUAACCUGCUAAGUUUUUAAUUGCUCAAUUAAGACCCUAGGAGUUUUUUACCAAUUACAAAUCCUUAACAGACAAAAUCAAAUGGGCAACUAUCAGUAUUUGAAGCAAACAAUCAAAGUUAAAAGGGAAAACAUCUGAAAAUUUUGAAAAAUAAACCUAAUCUCUAAACUGAACCAAAUUCAUAAGAAAAACUUUACAAAGCUUAACAGACUAUUAGUUUAAUGAUGAGCAUGGGCAGACGGGUUAAACAAACAAACAAACAACUUGAAUAACAUUGAACUUAAACUAAUAAUGCACUAAUUAAAACAAAUAACUAACAAUUUAUGCUAAUCAUGCCGUCAGAGAAAACCAAAAGGGAAUUAACAACUUAUUCAAGACUUAGGAUAAAUUGAUCAAUGAAUUGAAACUAAAAUAAUUACUCCCCAACCAAAUAAUUUUGAAUGUGACCAAUGAUUGAAACAGGGAUGACUAUAAAAAAAAUGAAGGCCAAACAGACUUAUAAACUGAAAAUUACCUAAAAGAAAACUGACUCGAAUUUUGAGGAAAAGAGAAGGAAAAUGGAGAGGUAAAUGAAACCUUACCAACUAAGGAGUAGAAAUUAAACAAAGCAGCUACUGAGGUCCGUCUCCAACUCGAUUGACCAACAGAGGUCUUCUCUUUCAGGGUAUUCAGUCUUGCAUGGCUUUGACCGGAUCUCCUUGAAAGAGAAGACUUCUAGUAGUCUAAAUUUUGAAGGAAAACAAUAAGGAGCUUGGAUUCGAACAAAACAGAGACCCCUUCUUAGAUUUGCAAUUCCGGAGUUUUGAAGGGUUAUUUGGAAAAAUCAGUGAGGUAUUUAGGAAGAGGAGGGUACAGGGGUGGCCUGGUGAAACUUUGGGUCGAUUUGGAAGGAUUAGGGUUUUUAGGCACCGAUCUUAGAUUUAAGAUUCGAGAUGUUUGGUGAUGAUUCGAAGAAACUGGGUUAGAGAUUUGGAAAGGGGAGAUGACGGGGGUUAACUAGUGAGAAUUUAGGGCCAUUUGGAGAAGUUCCACCGCCGUGAGGCGAUUUCCGGCGGCGGAGGCGAUGGGGGAAAUUGGGGCGGCUAUGGUUUCUUUAGUUUUGGUGUUAGAGACAACUGAGUGGUUUUGAAUGGGGGGAGAGUGUUUCGGAUAGUUAUAUAAUUAAUGGGCGGUGAGUUCGGAGCCGUUGGAUCAUAAAGAUCCAAUGGUCGUGAUUGAGGGGGAACAAAACGGGGUCGUUUUGGGUUAGUAGGGUCUGGACCGGGUUCCCUGGGUUUUGGGCCUGGGGUAAGGACAGAUUUUGGAUUGGUUUUGGCUUUAAAUGGCCCAAAUUCUGAAUUUAAGACCCCCUUUUCAAUUAACCCCUUAUUUCCUUUUUUUCUUUUUUCUUCUUUUUUUAACUAAAAAUCCUAAAUUUAAAAAUUCUAAAUUAAUCUAAAUUGCAAAAUUAAACUAAUUAUCUAAUUAUCAAAAUUACAAAAAUUAUUUAAUCCUACAUUAAAAGAGAAAGAUCACUAAUCUAAAAAUUAAAAGGUAAAAUAUGUAAAAAUGGGUCAUUUUUGUAAUUUAUAUUUUUAAUGAAAUAAAUAAUUAACUAAUUAAUCCUAAAAAUAUUUUUUUUAAAAAAACUAAAUGCAAUGCAUGGUAUUUUUGGCAUUUUCAUGAUUUUAAUAAGAAUUAAACGUGCACAAAAAUGCAAACAAUUAACAAAAACUCCUACGAAAUUCAUAUAAGAUGGCAAAUAAUUGGAAAAAGUCUAUUUUCUUGGAUUUUUUAGGAGUAAUUCAUAUAGGGCAAAAAUCGCAUGCUCACAACUAUAAUUGUGUUUUUCUUCCUUAUUGUACAUUAUUUGCAAUUUAAGCCUACUGCUAGUUUAUGGAAGCAUGUCUAAGUGACUUAAUUGUUUUACUUGUUCAAACUGCUUUAUUUGAAUUUUGUGCAGCAUGCUAGGUUAGAAAUACCUGUUUUACCUUGGUAUGAAAUUGGAUUGAAUUGAAUACUCUUUAUGUUGCUGUUGUGUGUUUACUUUGGGACUACGGGACGAUAUCCCAGGAGAUCCCCCGGCUUGUUUACUUUGGGACUAUGGAUCGGUAUUCCGGUAGAUCCCCCUGCACAUUUAUGAUUGGGACUACGGGACAGCACCCGGUAGAUUUCCCGUACUGGAUAUUUACUUUGGGACUACGAAUUUGGUAUUCCGGGAGAUUUCCUUGCACAUUUACGAUUUGGACUGCUGGACGAUAUCCCAGGAGAUCCUCUAGACAUUUACUUUUGGGACUACGAGAUGGUAUCCCGGGAGAUCCCCUGUUGCUAUUUCUGUGUACUGAGUUAGAUUCUUUCUGUGUUUUUAUUUGUUAUAGACUGUUAGCACUUUAAAUAUAUUGUCGUAUUCUAUACUAUUUGACCUUAUUUUUAAUCUAUAAUCAGUAGGGCCCUGACUUUCCUUGUCACUAGCUGACCGAGGUUAGGCUUGGCACUUACUUAGUACUGCUGUGGUGUACUCAUGCCCUUUCUGCGCAUGUUUUUCAUGUGCAGAUCCAGGUUCUUCGGCCUAGCUCUACCAUCCUUGAGGCGAGGCAAUUCUUCAGAGACUUCGAUGUAUAUCUGUCGCGUCCGCAGACCAAGGAGUCCCUCUCCAUUCUCUCUUGUAGUUUUAGCCCUUCUAUAUUUACUUUGAUGUAGACAUUCUGGAGUUAGAUCACUGUGUAGUAUCCAUAGCUUGUGAUUUUAUGAGGUUCCGGAUUUUGGGAGUUAUUUUAGUUUGAGAGUUGGUAUUGUAUAUGCCAAGCGGCAUCUUAAACGCUUUAGUUAUGUUUAUUUAGCAGUUUUUGGCUAGUUUUUUAUCUUUCGUUUUCUUGUUCCGCAAAUCGUUAAGCUUACCUAGUCAUAGAGACUAGGUGCCGUCACGACAGUUCACGGAGGGCGAACUUGGGUCGUGACAAGUUGGUAUCAGAGCUCUAGGUUUAUAGGAGUCAUGAAUCACAAGCCGGUUUAUUAGAGUCUUGCGGAUUGGUGCAGAGACGUCUAUACUUAUCUAUGGGAGGCUAUGUAACUAUUAGGAAAAUUCCAUUUUAUUUGAUUUCCUUGUCGUGCGAGAUUUUUGAUAUCACAAUUCUAAGCUUCUGUCUUUUAUUCUCUCACAGAUGGUGAGCACACGUCAUACCGGAGAUGAUCAAGCACUCGCGCCCCCUGCUAGAGUCGUUAGAGGCUGAGGCUGGGGUAGAGGCCGAGGACGCGCCCGUGGUGCAUCCAGAGCACCCGUGCGAGUUGCCACAGAGGAGCCACCAAAUAGAUCCACUCAGGGUCUAGGCACCUGAUACGCCUACUGCUACUACUAUUCCAGCUCUUCAGGAGACUCUUGAAUAGUUCGUGAGCAUGUACACCACUCUAGCUCAGGCAGGGCUGAUUCUCCUUGCUGCAGCCACAUCCCAGGCCGGGGGAGGAGCAUAGACACCAACCGUCGGCACUCCUAAGUAGCAGGUCUAGGUUGAUCAGAUCCCAAAGGUUAUACUAGCACCGCUUGCAGUACCAGAUCAGCCCGAGGAUAGGGCGGCGGCUUCAGAGGAUGAACAGCGGAGGCUUUAGAGGUUUAAGAAGUAUAAGCCUCCUAUAUUCAAUGGUUUAGCAUCAGAUGAAGCCCUGGGAUUUCUGGAGGAGUAUUACCGUAUCCUCCGCACUAUGGGUAUAUUAGGAUCGAGUAGGGUUUCUUUCACUGCCUUCCAGCUUUGAAGAGCCGCCUACCAGUGGUGGCGUACUUUUGAGUUGGACAGUCCAGUUGAGGUAGCAUCUCUUACUUAGACUCAGUUUUCAGAUAUGUUCCUGAGAGAGUUUGUCCCUCAGAGCCUCAGGGACGCCUGGUGCAUGGAGUUUAAGCAUCUGUGCCAGGAACCAUGACUAUUUUGGAGUAUGUUGUCCAUUUCACUGACUUGGCUAGGCAUGCACCAGCCUUGGUUGCUACAGUUCGUGAGAGGGUUCGUCGGUUUAUUGAGGGACUCAUUCCCAGCAUCAGGUCUAGCAUGGAUCGCAAGUUGGAGAUGGAUAUUUCUUAUUAGCAGGUGGUCAGCAUUGCUAGGAGAGUGGAGGGUAUGCAUGCUCGGAAUAGAGAGGAGAGGGAGGCCAAGAGGUCUCGAGAGUUAGGCCAUUAUUCUGGUGCCCGUGCUCCAGCUCCAGUUCGUCAUGGUAGGGAUUAUAUGAGUCGCCCUAUUCAUUUAGUUCUUCUAGAAGCUAGGUAUUCCAGCUCCUCCUAGACCUCAGGAGCCUUAUUAUGCACCUCCAGUACCUAGUGCGCCUCUUACACGAGGUGCUUUCAGUAGUUAGUCCAGCAGACCUGGCCCAAGCCAGUCACAGUUGCCAUGUCCUCCCAAAGCUUAUUUUGAGUGUGGUGACACACUCCAUAUGGUGAGGGAUUGCCCUAGACUUAGGAGGGGUGCACCUCCACAGACUCCUCAACUGUAGUGUGCCCCACAGAGUUCCCAGGCUAUGGUUCCAGCAUCAGUUACUACCCCACCUACUCAGCCAACUAGAGUUGGAGGUUAGGGAGGUAGAAGUCACCCUAGNNNNNNNNNNNNNNNNNNNNNNNNNUCUUACUUUGCCCCGUAUUUGGGCGUACCUCAAGAUAUUUUGAGCUCCCCUAUUUAUGUUUCUACUCCUGUGGAGGAUUCUCUUGUUGUAGACCGCAUUUAGCGGUCGUGUUUGGUUGGUCUUAGUGGUUUUGAGACCUGAGCCGAUUUAUUAUUGCUCAGCAUGGUAGAUAUCGAUGCUAUUCUUGAUUGUCACACCAAAAAUGUGACGUUGUCUAUGCCAGGUGUACUGCAAGUAGAGUGGAGGGGUACUUUAGAUCACACUUCUAGUAGAGUUAUUUCUUUCCUUAAAGCUCAGUGAAUGGUUGAGAAGGGGUGUAACGUGUAUCUGGCAUAUGUGAGAGAUGUUAGUAUUGAUGCCCCUACAGUUGAUUCAGUCCUAGUAGUACCAGACUUCCCUAAUAUUUUUCUAGCUGAUCUUCCGGGUAUGCCACCCGACAGAGAUAUUGAUUUCGGCAUUUAUUUGUUGUCGGGAACUCAACCUAUUUCUAUUCCUCCUUAUCGUAUGGCUCAUCCUAAGUUGAAGGAAUUGAAGGAGCAGUUGCAGGAUUUGCUUGACAAAGGUUUUAUUCAUCCCAGUGUAUCACCUUGGGGUGCUCUUGUCUUAUUUGUGAAGAAAAAGGAUGGUUCUAUGCGUAUGUGCAUUGAUUAUUGCCAGUUGAACAAGGUUACAGUGAAGAACCAGUAUCCUUUGCGUCGUAUUGAUGAUCUGUUUGACCAGUUACAUGGUGCAAGAGUGCUUUCUAAAAUUGAAUUGCGUUUAGGUUAUCUCUAGUUGAAGAUUCAGGAGUCGGAUAUCCCGAAGACUACUUUCAGGAGUUGGUAUGGUCACUACAAGUUCCUUGUUAUGUCAUUUGGGCUGACCAAUUCCCCAGAAGCCUUUAUGCAUUUGAAGCACAGUGUGUUCCAGUCAUAUCUUGACUCGUUCGUUAUUGUGUUUAUUGAUGAUAUUCUAGUGUAGUCCCGGAGUCGGGAAGAUCAUGAGUAGCACCUAAGGACAGUGCUUUAGACUUUGAGGGAAAAGAAGUUAUAUGUAAAGUUUUCGAAAUGUGAGUUUUGGUUGGAUUCCGUGGCAUUCUUGGGUCACGUGGUAUCGAGUGAGGGUAUACAGGUGGAUUCGAAGAAAGUAAAAGCAAUGUAGAGUUGGUCCAGACCAUCCUCAGCUAUAGAGAUCCGCAGUUUUCUUGGCUUCGCGGGUUAUUACCAUCAAUUUGUUGAGGGGUUUUCAUCUAUUGCAGCACCUAUGACCAUGCUGACCCAGAAGGGUGCUUCGUUCCAGUGGAUGGAAGAGUGUGAGGCAAGUUUCCAGAAGCUCAAGACAGCUUUGACUAUAGCCCCAGUUUUGAUAUUGCCUACAGGUUCGGGGUCUUAUACUAUCUAUUAUGAUACCUCGAGGAUUGUCCUUGGAGCAGUAUUAAUGCAGGACGGUAGGGUGAUUGCCUACGCAUCCAGGCAGUUGAAGGUACAUGAAAAGAAUUAUCAUAUCCAUGAUCUCAAGUUAGUUGCUAUUAUUCACACCUUGAAGAUCUGGCAUCAUUAUUUGUACGGUGUUCCUUGUGAGAUCUAUACUGAUCACCGGAGUUUACAAUAUCUGUUCAAGUAGAAGGACCUUAAUCUGCGCCAGAGGAGAUGGUUAGGGCUGCUGAAGGACUAUGAUAUCAUUAUCUUGUAUCACCCGGGAAAGGCCAAUGUGGUGGCCGAUGCUUUGAGUCGUCGGGCAGAGAAUUUGGGGAAUUUGGCUUAUCUACCAGCAGUGGAGAGGCCCAUGGCGAUGGAUGUUCAAGCCUUAGCCAGCCAGUUUGUGAGAUUGGAUCUUUCGGAGCCUAGUCGGGUUCUACCUUGCGUUGUCUAUCGGUCUUCCUUAUUUGAUCAUAUUAGGGAGUGUCAGUAUGAUGACCCUCAUUUACUUGUCCUCAAGGACAAGGUUCUGCACGGCGAUGCUAGAGAUGUGACUAUUGGUGAGGAUGGGGUAUUGAGGAUGUAGGGACGGGUAUGUGUACCUAAUGUUGAUGGACUUUGGGAGUUGAUUCUAGAUGAGGACCAUAGUUCGUGGUAUUCCAUCCAUUCGGGUGCCGCGAAGAUGUACCAGGAUUUGAGACAGCACUAUUGGUGUAGGCAGAUGAAGAAGGAUAUAGUUGGGUUUGUAGCUUGGUGCCUCAAUUGUCAGCAGGUAAAGUAUGAGCACUAGAGACCGGGUAGGUUGCUUCAGCAGAUAGAGAUUCCGGAGUGGAAGUGAGUGCGGAUCACCAUGGACAUUAUAGUUGGACUCCCACAGACUUUGAAGAAGUUCGAUGCCAUUUGGGUAAUUGUAGAUCAGCGGACCAAGUCCGCGCACUUCAUUCCUGUGUGUACCACCUAUUCUUCGGAGCGAUUGGUGGAGAUUUAUAUUCGAGAGAUUGUUCGUCUGCAUGGUAUUCCAGUUUCCAUCAUUUUAGAUAGAGGUACUUAGUUCACAUCACGGUUCUAGAGGGUCGUACAGCAUGAGUUGGGCACUCGGGUGGAGUUAAUCACAGCAUUUCACCCUCAGAUGGACAGACUAUCCGAGCGCACUAUUCAAAUUCUUGAGGAUAUGCUCUGUGCAUGUGUGAUGGAGUUUGGAGGUUCUUGGGAUUAGUUUUUGCCACUGGCUGAGUUUGCCUACAAUAACAGUUAUCAAUCCAGCAUUUAGAUGGCACCGUAUGAGGCUUUGUAUGGUAGGUAGUGUAGAUCCCCGAUGGGUUGGUUUGAGCCGGGUAAGGCUAGAUUAUUGGGCACAGACUUGGUUCGAGAUGCUUUGGAGAAGGUUAAGGUGAUUAAGGAUAGACUCCGUACAGCCUAGUCCAGACAGAAGAUUUAUGCGGACCAGAAGGUUCGUGAUGUUUCCUAUAAGGUUGGAGAGCGGGUCUUGCUUCGGGUUUCACCUAUGAAGGGCGUUAUGAGAUUUGGGAAGAAAGGGAAGUUGAGUCCGAGGUUUAUUGGUCCUUUUGAGAUAUUGAGACAUGUUGGAGAGGUUUCUUAUGAGCUUGCCUUACCUCCCAGCUUGGCAGGAGUUCAUAGUGUAUUUCAUGUUUUGAUGCUCCGGAAGUAUCACGGCGACCCGUCACACGUAGUGGAUUUCAGUUCAGUCCAGUUGGACAAGGAUCUAUCUUAUGUUGAGGAGCUGGUGGCAAUAUGGGACAGGCAGGUUUGGAAGCUGAGGGCAAAGAACAUUGCAUCGGUGAAGGUUCAGUUGCGGGGCCAGCCGGUCGAGGAGGCAACUUAGGAGACCGAGCAAGAUAUGCACAGUCGUUACUCUCAUCUUUUCACUACUUCAGGUAUGUCUCUAUGCUCAUUCGAGGAUGAACGAAUGUUUUAAGAGGGGGAGGAUGUAACGACCCGGCCGAUCGUUUUAAAAAUUUACACCCUGAUCCCCUAUUAACUACAUUCCCCGUAUUUGUUUCUGCUAUUGUAAGUUGUCGGGAGGGUUCAUUUUGAAUUUGAAGUGUUUUAGGACACUUAAUCCCUAAAUGAGAGUUUUAGCUUUAGAAUUUUGGAUCAUAUUCGGAGCAGUGUGAAGACAGCCUUGGAAUGUAAUUCUGUUGGUUCCGUUGGGUGAUUUCGGGCUUAGAGGCAUGUUUAGAUUGUGUUUUUGAGGUCGUAGCGUAAUUAAGGUUAAAAUGCCGAAAGUUGAAUUUUUGAAGUUUCCGAUUCGAUAGUAAGAUUCUGAUAUCGGGGUCAGAAUAGAAUUUCGGAUGUUGGAGUAGGUCUGUCGUGUUAUUUGGGACGUGUGUGCAAAAUUUCAAGUCAUUCGGACGAGGUUUGAUAGACUUUAUGAUCGAAAGCGGAAGUUGGAAGUUUUGGGAAUCCUUAGGCUUGGAUUGGACAACGGUUUGUGGUUUUAGCAUUGUUUGAUGUGAUUCGAGGGUUGGAAUAAGUUCGUAUGAUGUUGUAGGAUUGGUUGGCAUGUUUGGUUGAGGUUCCGGAGACCUCGGGUGAGUUUCCGGUGCUUAACAAAAAUUGAAUUGGACUUAGGAAAAUCUGAAGCUUGACUAAAGUUCUAUCAUAACUGCACCUGCGAUUAUGGGACCGCAGGUGCAUGAUUGCAGAAGCAAUAGAGGAGCCGCAGAUGCGGCCAGGCGCUUGGAAACCAGAAUCCACAGGUGCGAUAGGUUGAGCGCACCUACGAGACCGCAGGUGCGGUAGAAAAAGCGCAGGUGCGGUCCAAGUGCAUUAAGUGAAAACCGCAUAUGCGGUUGGUUAGACCGCAGAAGCGGCACCGCAUAAGCGAGAAAAUGGCCGCAGGUGCGAAAACCCUAGGCCAAAACCUAUAUAAGGUUUCUGUUGCAAUUUUUGCCUAUUCUUUCACCAUUUUUGUCCAAGAAUUGAGUUUUUUAGGAGGUUUGGAAAGAGGAUUCAAGGGAGCUUCAAGGAGGUAAGAUUUCUGGAACCAAAACUCGUUUAUAUGGUAUUAUUCUACUGAUUUGACAAGGAAUUUAUGGAAAAUGAGGGUUAAAAUUGGGGUUUAGGGUUUGAUAUUGGAGACUUGGAUUUGGGGACUUGAGGAGUCAUUUGUAGUCUGAUUUUCGUGUAUUUGGUAUGUAUGAACUCGUGAGAGUGUGAGGAUUCUAGUUUUGCAAAUUUUAUCCAAUUCUGAGACAUGGGCUUGGGGGACUUUUUGGGCAAUUUUCCCAAUUUCGUGUAUUAGCUUUGAAUUAAUGAGUUGAAUUAGUUGUUAGAAGUUAUAUUUACAUUAUACAAUUACUUUGAAUAGAUUUGGGCCAUUUGGAGUCAUGUACUCGUGGCAAGAACGUGAUUUCGAGUUGAUUGAGCUGGUUCGAGGUAAGUGGCUUGUUUAACCUUGUGUGGGGGAACUCCCCUUAGGAUUUGGUAUUGUUGAUAUAUGAAAUGCCUUGUACGUGAGGUGACGAGUGUGUACAUGUGCUAACUGUAGAAAAUCAUGUUUUCAUUUAGUAACUAUAAUUGUGUUUUUCUUCCUUGUUGGACAUUACUUGCAAUUUAAGCCUACUGUUAGUUUAGGAAAGCAAGUCUAAGUGACUUAAUUGCUUUACUUGUUCAAACUGCUUUAUUUGAAUUAAGUGCAGCAUGUUAGGUUAGAAAUAUCUGUUUUGCCUUGGUAUAAAAUUGGAUUGAAUUGAAUAUUCUUCGUGUUGCUGUUGUGUGUUUUCUUUGGGACUACGGGACGCUAUCCCGGGAGAUCCUCCUGCUUGUUAACUUUGGGACUACGGAUCGGUAUUCCGGUAGAUCCCCCUGCACAUUUAUGAUUGGGACUAUGGGAUAUCACCUGGUAGAUUCCCCGUACUGGAUAUUUACUUUGGGACUACGGAUUUGGUAUUUCGGGAAUUUCCCUUGCACAUUUACGAUUUGGAUUGCGGGAAGAUAUCUCGGGAGAUCCUCUAGACAUUUACGUUUGGAACGAUAGGACGGUAUCCCAGGAGAUCCUCUGUUGCUAUUUCUGUGUAGUGAGUUAGAUUCUUUGUAUGUUUUUAUUCGUUAUAGACUCUUAGCACUUUAAAUAUAUUGUCGUAUUCUAUACUGUUUUACCUUGUUUUUCAUAUAUAAUCAGUAGGGGCCUGGCUUUCCUCGUCACUACUCAAGCGAGGUUAGGCUUGGCACUUACUGAGUACCGUUGUGGUGUACUCAUGCCCUUUCUGCGCAUGUUUUUCAUGUGUAGAUCCAGGUUCUUCGGCCCAGCCCUACCAUCCUUGAUGCGAGGCAAUUCUUCAGAGAUUUCGAGGUAUAUCUGUCGUGUCCGCAGACCGAGGAGCCUCUCCAUUCUUUCUUAUAGUUAUAGCCCUUCUGUAUUUACUUUGAUGUAUAUAUUCUGGAGUUAGAGCACUAUGUAGUAUCCAUAGCUUGUGAUUUGAUGAGAUUUCAGGUUUUGGGAGUUGUUUUAGUUUGAGAGUUUGUAUUGUAUAUGCCGAGCGGCAUCUUAAACGCUUUAUUUAUGUUUAUCCGCAGUUUUUGGCUAGUUUUUUUAUCUUUCAUUUUGGUGCCACCACAACAGUUUACGGAAGGCGAACUUGGGUCGUGACAAGUGUAAAUAGAGAAACUAAGAUGUGUAGAAAGAAAUAUAACCAACUUAGUCUAUAAAAGAGACUAAGUCAGUUAUUACUGUACUAACUGAAAAUACGAGCUUAAGCUCAUUUCUUCGCUCUUCUUCUUCUCUCUGAACUUUGUACUCCAGAUAUGAGUAUGUGUUGCAUGUGUGAAUCGAGUAAAUAUUUGCUCAAUUAUAGCAAAUUGACAUGGUAUCAGAGCAGAAAUCGAUCAAUUUGAGUUGUUAUCCGUGCAAGAUCUGAGAAAUUAGUUAAGUUCAAAGCUCACAAAAUUGCAACAAUGGUGGAUGAUGAAAUUGGACACCUUCUUCAUAAUUAUCCACUAUACCUUAAGGAUUCAGACUCGCCGGGAAUAGCGUUGAUAACUCUCAAACUCACAGGGCCAGAAAAUUAUGCUCUUUGGAGUAGAUCUAUGAGAGUAGCUCUCCUAGUGAAGAACAACUUCGGGUUUGUGGAUGGAACCUGUGUCAAAGCUUCAUACAGAGGUGAAUUAGCGGCGCAAUUGGAAAGGUGUAAUGUAGUGAUCUUCUCAUGGCUUAGUAGAACUAUAGCGGCAGAGUUGGUGCAAAGCAUCAUGUACGCAUCAAGUGCGAGAAAAAUCUAGGACGAGUUCAAGGAAAGGUUUGACAAAGAUGACCUAACCAAAAUUUAUCAAAUUUCUACUGACAUUUCAGCCCUAAAGCAAGGUACAGAAUCUGUGACCUCUUACUUCUUGAAAUUGAAAAACCUAUGGAAUGAAUUAGACAUCUUAGUACCUCUACCCUCAUGUAAUUGUGAAGAAUCACGCCCAUAUGUAGAUCACUUAGUAAGACAAAGGCUUCUACAGUUCUUAAUGGGACUGAAUGAGAGUUAUAGUCAUAUGAGGAGUGCAGUGUUACUGAAGAGGCCGGUCCUUACUGUAAACCAAGCUUAUGCAGUUGUAGUGUAGGAGGAAAGUCAGAGGGAAUUAGGAGUAGUUGACACAAAUAGGGAGCCAAUGACUAUGUUAGCAGGAAAAGGAAAUCAGUUCCUAAAAGGAAAGAAGCCAGGUCUUGUCUGUGAACAUUGUGGGUACAAAGGGCAUUUGAAGGAAAAUUGCUCCAAAAUUAUUGGGUACCCUGCAGACUUCAAAAGCAAGAAGAAAGAUCAACUUCCUGCUAAAUCUUAUGCUAACAAUGUCAAUGGAGAAAAGGAAGUGACAAUAAACAAUCAACCAUAAGGGAACUACAUGACUGAGGAUCAGUACAAGCAUCUAGUGAGCCUGUUGACAAAAUCAUCUAUGAAAGAGAGUUCUAACAACACAUCAAGCUCAGCAAACAUGACAGGUAUAAAGUCAUUGCCAUCUAAUGCACGAUCAUAUGAUUGGAUAGUAUAUUUAGGAGCAUCACACCAUAUUACUUUUUGCAAAGAGGUUUUAGAAAAAUUAUGGAGAAUCAAUAAAGGAAAUAGUAGAGGAGUUCAAAUGCCCAUAGGAGGUAGAUCAGAAAUAGUACACACACAGGAGAUGCAACAAUACUAGGAUGGCAGAAGAUUAGGAAUGUUUUACAUGUGCUUGACUUUAAGUUCAAUCUCAUUUCAGAAUCCAAGCUAACUAGAGAUUUAUGUUGUUCAACUUGCUUCUACCCUAAUUUUUUGUGUGUUUCAGGAACUUUACAAUGGUAGGGUACUGGUGAUUUGUAGAGAAGAUGAAGGGUUGUACAUAAUUAGGAGUGAAGAGGAUGAAGUAGUAGCUCGAUCAGUCAAGAAGGAAGAAAUAAGUGCAGCAUUGUGGCACCAAAGGAUGGGGCAUGCCUUCAUAGGUUCUUUACAAUGUUUUCCAGAUUUGAAGAAUAAAGUGAAUCAAGAUAUAUAGAAGAAUUGUGAGAUUUGCCUAUUAGCCAAACAGAGUAGACUAAAGUUUCCUAUUAGUAGUCAUUAAUCUGAUUACAUUUUUCAACUUGUGCAUAUAGAUGUCUGGGGACCAUACAAAGUUGCUACUUAUGACAAAAGGCAUUAUUUUCUAACCAUAGUAGAUGACUAUAGUAGGUAUACUUGGAUUUGUUUGCUACAAUCUAAAUGUGAAGUAAUAGUAGUGUUGCAGGAAUUCUUUUUUUUUUUGGAGAAUCAGUUUAAUGCAGUUGUAAAAGUGCUGAGAUCUGAUAAUGGUAAAGAAUUUUCAAUAAAAACUGCAAUGAUUCGCUUUCAUCCUUGGGUAUAAUACACCAAAGUAGUUGUCCCUAUACUCCACAAUAAAAUAGAGUAGUAGAGAGAAAACAUAGAACCAUAUUGGAGGUGGAAAGGGCAUUGAAAUUUCAAAGCAACAUACCUGCUAGGUUUUGGGGAGACUGUGUCAAAACUGCAGUUUACCUAAUCAAUAAGUUGCCCACAAUAGUGCUGAAUGGAAAAUACCCAUAUGAAAAGCUCUAUGGGAAACCACCAAAAAUAAAUCAUCUUAGAGUAUUUCGGUGUCUAUGUUAUGCCAGCACAUUGCAAGAGGAGAUAAAGUUGCAACCAUGGCAAUGAAAUCAAUGUUCAUUGGUUAUUCAGAAGUGUAGAAGGGAUAUAGGUUAUAUGAUCUAGAAUCCAAUAGAUCUUGUGAGCAGGGAUGUGAAUUUCAGAGAAGAUAUCUUUCCUUUCAAGGUCCUGCCUAAUCAACUUGAAAAUUUAUUCAUGCCUGAUACUGAUUGCUCAAUAAUUACAAGGAAUCAGCCUACUUCAACACCUGUAGCAGAUGAUGAUCUAGGAAUAGCUUCUCAGAAUAGAACUGAAGUUAAAGCUGACAACUCCAGCCCCUAUGUAGCACCAGAUAUGCCACUAGAUGUGACAGUAAAUGAUAUGGAGGAACUUGGUUCAGGUGAAAGCAAUGAAAAAAAUUCCCCACCCAACAGGAACAUGAAGAGUUUAUACUUGAUCAAGUGCCAACAGUUGUGCAACAACCUACAGGGAUUAGAAAAUCCAAAAGAACAACAAAACCAACAGUGUAGCUCAAAGAUUAUGGUACUACAAGCAAACUAAAAGGAGAUAGUCUUUAUUCAGUUUCAAAUUAAGUGAGCUAUGGUCAUCUCUCAGAACACUACCAAUGUUACCUGGGUUCAUUCUCAGCUCAGAUAGAACCAAAGUCUUUUCAGGAAGCAGCCCAAGAUGAUAUGUGGAUAGAAGCAUGAAGCAAGAGAUUUUGGCACUUGAAGAAAAUAAGACAUGGGAGAUAGUGGAUCUUCCUCCAAGAAAAUAAAGUAUUGGCUCAAAAUGGGUAUACAAAAUCAAACACAAAGCCAAUGGUGAAGUAGAGAGAUUCAAAACCAGGCUUGUUGCAAAAGGAUAUACACAACAUGAAGGGUUAGACUAUAAUGAAACAUUUUCACCUGUUGCCAAGAUGGUAACAGCUAGAAUUGUGAUAAACCUAGCAGUCUCUAAAGGUUGGGUUUUAUCUCAAAUGAAUGUCAACAAUGCCUUCCUACAAGGGGAUUUGUAUGAGGAGGUUUACAUGGACUUGCCUUAGGGAUUCCAUAGGCAGGGGGAGUCUAAGGUUUGCAGACUACUUAAGUCUCUUUAUUGUCUCAAACAGGCAUCGAGAUAGUGAAACAUUAAGUUGACUGAUGCACUGAUAAGUGAAGGGUAUUCUCAAAGUGCCUAUGAUCAUUCCCUGUUCACAAAGAAGAUAAAUGCAGACCUAGUGAUCAUCCUUGUGUAGAUGAUCUAUUGAUUACUGGCAGCAACAACACAUUGGUAGAAGAAGCAAAAGCAACCCUACACAAACAUUUCAAGUUGAAAGAUCUAGGUGAACUUAGAUACUUCCUGGGAAUUGAGCUCAUGAGGUCAACAACAAGAGUUGUACUUAAUCAAAGGAAGCAUGGUCUUCAGCUAAUUUCAGAAGUUGGGUUAAGUGGGGCAAAGCCAGCUAGCUCACCCUUGGAACAAAACCACAAGUUGACAACUAUUGAAUAUGAUACACAUAUAGAAAUUAAGGAAGAUGAGGAAUUUCAAGACAUUGUAAGCUAUCAAAAACUAAUAGGGGAACUCAUUUACCUCACUAUUACCAGACCAGACAUAUGUUUUGCCGUCCAAGUUUUAAGUUAAUUCAUGCAACAUCCAAAGCAAUCACAUUUAGAUGCUGCAUUAAGGGUUAUGAGAUACAUUAAAGGAUCACCAGGGAUGGGAAUAUUAUUGAAGAGAGGAUCAUUAAAAGAUGUUGCAUCCUAUUGUGAUGCAGACUGGGCAGCCUGCCCAAAUACAAAGAGGUCUGUAACCGGAUAUAUGAUGACGCUAGGAGAGUCAUUGAUCUCAUGGAAAUCCAAGAAGCAGCCAACUGUGAGCAGGAGCUCUAUUGAGGCUGAAUAUAGAAGCAUGGUAGUAGUGACUUUAGAGUUGGUAUGGUUGGUAGGAUUACUGAAGGAGUUAGGAUUAAUUGUGAAGGAGCCAGUAAUGCUAAAUUGUGACAGCAAAACAGCUAUGCAAAUAGCAGCUAAUCCAGUUUAUCAUGAGAGAAUAAAGCAGAUACAGAUUGACUGUCAUUUUGUGAGAUAAAUAAUUAAAGAUGGUCUGAUCACACCUCAGUACAUUUCCACUAAAGAACAGCUCACAGAUGUGAUGACUAAAAGAUUGGGAGCUGAGCAGCAUAAAGUCUUAAUAUCCAAGCUAGGAUUGUUCAAUGUCUUUCACCCUCCAACUUGAGGGGGAGUGUGAAAAUAACAAGUUAGUUGUUAGGUUGUUAUUAGGACUGAAGUAUAAAUAGAGAAACUAAGAAGUAUAGAAAGAAAUAUAACCAACCUAGUCUAUAAAAGAGACUAAGUCGGUUAUUACUAUACUAACUGAAAAUACGAGCUUAAGCUCAUUUCUUCUCUCUUCUUCUUCGCUUUGAACUCUGUACUCAAGAUCUGAGUAUGUGUUGCAUGCGUGAAUCGAGUAAAUAUUUGCUCAAUUAGAGCAAAUUGACACUAUCCAUCAAUUAGUUGCAACUAUAUUCACAAUUUUGCAGUUUAGAAUUAUUCCUUUAGUUAUUAAAAAGGGAAUUUUACUUCAAAUAACUUAGUCCCUUUUAGUGACAUGCUGAAAACCAAAAGAACAAAAUAUCAGAAAUUCCGGAGCAAUAGAACCAAAAUACAACAUCCAUAUAUAAAAGAGGACACAAUGUUGGCGGGUCACUUUGUAUGUGUUGUCCGGAAAGUGGAAAUAAAAUUAGGAAAAAAAAAUAUUAAGCAGAAUACAAUUUUGCCGAGAAUAGGAUAAUGAUAAACUCUCAGGAAAAAAUCAAAAAUAUUAUCUUCUAGUUGAGCUUAGCAGAACAAAUUGCAGAGAAUAGGAUCGAUAAUGAUAAAGAAAGUUAGUGCAAGAUUGAAGUUUAGCUUUUUACAGUUUUUGCCGAGAAAAUUUCCAGCGAAAAGGUUGUCGAUGAUCCAGUAGUAGCACCAACGGCGGUUUUCAUAUUGUCAAGUUCGGCGGCAAGCCUAUAAGAUAACCGGAGACUCGAGAAUGUUAGCUUUCCAUAAGGACCGUUCAGGCAGUCUUUUCUUCCUCAUCAUGGAAGAAAUAAGAGGAAUAGAAAAAGACAUGAUGUUUGGAGGUAGAGUGAGAAAUAGGCGUUUCUUUUGAAGAGAGAGAAACAACACAUAGAAUAACAAAAGGCAAAAAUCUGAGAAAAUUGCAAAAUAGAUUUACUAGCAAGUGAGAACCGCC
This 34503-nucleotide long non-coding RNA is filed under the name Nicotiana tabacum (common tobacco). Its description in RNAcentral is "long non-coding RNA (NTAB_LNC001403)". Lineage: Eukaryota; Viridiplantae; Streptophyta; Magnoliopsida; Solanales; Solanaceae. The record is from RNAcentral.